RNAcentral lists this ribosomal RNA (689 nucleotides) under uncultured Bacteroidales bacterium. Its description in RNAcentral is "bacterial SSU rRNA". It matches the Rfam family "Bacterial small subunit ribosomal RNA", at positions 67 to 753 of the family's 1533-position model. The record is from RNAcentral. Lineage: Bacteria; Pseudomonadati; Bacteroidota; Bacteroidia; Bacteroidales.
CAGCAUGACCUAGCAAUAGGUUGAUGGCGACCGGCGCACGGGUGAGUAACACGUAUCCAACCUACCGGUUAUUCAGGGAUAGCCUUUCGAAAGAAAGAUUAAUACCGGAUAGUAUAACGAGAAGGCAUCUUCUUGUUAUUAAAGAAUUUCGAUAACCGAUGGGGAUGCGUUCCAUUAGUUUGUUGGCGGGGUAACGGCCCACCAAGACAUCGAUGGAUAGGGGUUCUGAGAGGAAGGUCCCCCACAUUGGAACUGAGACACGGUCCAAACUCCUACGGGAGGCAGCAGUGAGGAAUAUUGGUCAAUGGACGAGAGUCUGAACCAGCCAAGUAGCGUGAAGGAUGACUGCCCUAUGGGUUGUAAACUUCUUUUAUAUGGGAAUAAAGUGAGCCACGUGUGGCUUUUUGUAUGUACCAUACGAAUAAGGAUCGGCUAACUCCGUGCCAGCAGCCGCGGUAAUACGGAGGAUCCGAGCGUUAUCCGGAUUUAUUGGGUUUAAAGGGAGCGUAGGCGGACUAUUAAGUCAGCUGUGAAAGUUUGCGGCUCAACCGUAAAAUUGCAGUUGAUACUGGUCGUCUUGAGUGCAGUAGAGGUAGGCGGAAUCCGUGGUGUAGCGGUGAAAUGCUUAGAUAUCACGAAGAACUCCGAUUGCGAAGGCAGCUUACUGGACUGUAACUGACGCUGAUGCU